Molecule: long non-coding RNA, 706 nt
Organism: Solanum dulcamara
Lineage: Eukaryota; Viridiplantae; Streptophyta; Magnoliopsida; Solanales; Solanaceae
Exons: 2
Source: RefSeq, a predicted model, not a curated record
CGGGUGAUGGAAUAAUUUUAGAGUUAGUGGGGUAAAAUUUCAAAAUGGGGAAACCCUAAGUUUUUUCUCUUUCUCUUUCUUCUGAAAAAGAGGCAGUCGUCGCCCACCCAAAACCUAACUGCCCUUCACUGAUCUUCGACAACCCCUCCACUAUAAUGCCGUUUCCGGCGAGCUACAAAAUCCAAACGAACAAACCGAAGCUCGAACUCCAAGCUCGCGAGCAAGAACAACCCCCAAUGCUCAAAAACCACUAUUUCUCUCCCCCACCAAAAUUCAAAGCCAACCUAGCUUAAAAAAACCACCACCAAACUCCGACGAAACCCUGUCCCUUUUUCCGUUUCUCCUAACAACAACCAGACCCCAAAUCCCAUUCCUUUCUACUCUGUCCAACCACACCAACGACUCCAUUAGCGAGCCGGCGAGAUCUAAGCUCGCACCGCCAAAACAACAACCAACCAAAUCCAAUAGAAAUCAACGCACCUCUGCCGUUCAACUCCAAGCUCUGGCAAACAAAGCCAAUGGAUCUUAACACCACCACUGCGCCUCUCUUCUUUGUUGAAUAGGUACCCAACCCAGAGUUGCUUCUCGAGGAAGUUGUUCGAAUAAAAUUUGAAUAAUAUUUUUUAUUUUGUUAUUGUAUAUAUUAUUGACAUAGACAAAUAUUAGGCCAUUUCUCAUAUUAUUGAUUUAUUUUAUUCUUUACGUA